This 387-nucleotide ribosomal RNA is filed under the name Triticum aestivum (bread wheat). RNAcentral describes it as "partial small subunit ribosomal RNA". Lineage: Eukaryota; Viridiplantae; Streptophyta; Magnoliopsida; Poales; Poaceae. The record is from RNAcentral.
AUGUUUAGGCAUGCGAUGGGUGCUGUCGCAUUCGUCAGCGAGGAGAAAAUCGCCGCCAAAGUGGAGCACCUGAAGAAAACGUUCAGGUGGGAGGAUGCUGAGGUGGGCAUUGCUAUUUCUAAGGCUCCAAAUAUGCUGAAUAAGACUAAGGAAUUUCUGCAGAGAAGCCUGGAGGGCCGGCUAAGGCCCCGGAGCUACGUUGUGAAGUUUCUCAAGGCAAAUGGAUUGCUAGAUCCCGACAGGGACUUGUACUCCGCAGUCGCACUGAAUGAGAAGGUAUUCAUGAAGAAGUUCAUAUGUCCUUACAAGGAAGCUGCAUUGCACCUUGCUCAAGACUAUGCAGCAGCUUGCAGAGGGGAAGUGCCGGCUAGAUUCAGAUUUACAUGA